Molecule: ribosomal RNA, 480 nt
Filed under: uncultured bacterium
Lineage: Bacteria
Description: partial 16S ribosomal RNA
Rfam family: Bacterial small subunit ribosomal RNA
Source: RNAcentral
GACGAACGCUGGCGGCGCGCUUAACACAUGCAAGUCGAGCGAUUAAACUUUAACAGCACCCUUCGGGGCGAAGAUAAAGUGGAUUAGCGGCGGACGGGUGAGUAACAUGUGAGUAACCUGCCUUAGACACUGGGAUAGCCUCGGGAAACCUGGAUUAAUACCAAAUAAAAUCAUAAUGACACAUGUCAUAACGAUCAAAACUCCGGUGGUCUAAGAUGGACUCGCGUCCCAUUAGCUCGUUGGUAGAGUAAAAGCCUACCAAGGCGACGAUGGGUAGCCGGGCUGAGAGAGUGAACAGCCACAUUGGAACUGAGAAACGGUCCAAACUCCUACGGGAGGCAGCAGUGGGGAAUAUUGCAAAAUGGAGGGAACUCUGAUGCAGCGACGACGCGUGAACGAAGAAGGCUGUCGAGUCGGAAAGUUCUUUUAUAUGGGAAGAUAAUGACGGUACCAUAAGAAAAAGCCCCGGCUAACUACGUG